GGAGGGAUGGCUGAGUGGUUUAAAGCGACGGUCUUGAAAACCGUUGUGGGGCCUGUCCUCACCGGGGGUUCGAAUCCCUCUCCCUCCG
Molecule: transfer RNA, 88 nt
Filed under: Chloroflexota bacterium
Lineage: Bacteria; Bacillati; Chloroflexota
Description: Chloroflexi bacterium (groundwater metagenome) tRNA-Ser
Rfam family: tRNA
About the family: Transfer RNA (tRNA) molecules are approximately 80 nucleotides in length. Their secondary structure includes four short double-helical elements and three loops (D, anti-codon, and T loops). Further hydrogen bonds mediate the characteristic L-shaped molecular structure. tRNAs have two regions of fundamental functional importance: the anti-codon, which is responsible for specific mRNA codon recognition, and the 3' end, to which the tRNAs corresponding amino acid is attached (by aminoacyl-tRNA synthetases). tRNAs cope with the degeneracy of the genetic code in two manners: having more than one tRNA (with a specific anti-codon) for a particular amino acid; and 'wobble' base-pairing, i.e. permitting non-standard base-pairing at the 3rd anti-codon position.
Source: RNAcentral